RNAcentral lists this long non-coding RNA (1174 nucleotides) under Nicotiana benthamiana. RNAcentral describes it as "long non-coding RNA (NBEN_LNC003364)". The record is from RNAcentral. Lineage: Eukaryota; Viridiplantae; Streptophyta; Magnoliopsida; Solanales; Solanaceae.
UCGGGUCAGACGCCCCAAUGGCGGAAUUGAAAAUGGGGCUCAGACAUAUUGGGCUCGGUACACACAUUUGGCCCAAACAACAAAUAAUCAUCAUAGCCCAUACAAUGUAUAUCAAAGGAUACAAUAAAUAUACAGUGUAUAUACAGUGUGUACAAUCAUAUAAUCUAGGGGUGUUCAUCGGGCGGAUUGGGCGGCUUUUACUCUUAACGGUUUGGCUUAACGGUUUAGAGGAUACAAUAAAUAUACAGUGUAUAUACAAUGUGUACAAUCAUGUAAUCUCCUUCAUCUCAACACCCCCCUCAAGUUGGAGGGGGAAACUACCUACAACUUGGAUAACAGCGGAAGAAGCAUAGUGCCAGGCAGUGGCUUAGUGAGGAGGUCGGCCAGUUUACGAGAAGUAGGAACAUGAAGCAGCUUGAGAAAACCAGAUUGCAGCAGUCCCGAACAAAAUGGCAGUCCACCUCGAUAUGUUUGGUACGUUCAUGAAAAACAGGAUAGUUAGCAAUAUGAACAGCAGCCUGACUAUCACAAUAUACAGAAAUAAGAGAAGAAACAGAUACCCCAAGAUCAACCAACAAGCAAGAAAGCCAAGUUAACUCAGCAACAACUUUGCUGAGGGCUCUAUAUUCUUCAUCAGCAGAAGACAGAGAAACAACAUGUUGCUUCUUCGAUUUCCAACUGAUCAAGCAACCACCCAAAAGUACACAAAAUCCAGUAACAGAUCGUCUAGUAUCAUGGCAUGCAGCCCAGUCACUAUCAGAAUACCCAGUAACAGAGAAAUCAGCAUGAGCAGAAUAAAGUAAACCUAAGGAGGGAGUGCCCUUAAGGUAUAUCAGAACAUGCAGGGCAGCAGUCAUAUGGGGACGUCUGGGGCAUUUGAGGAAUUGACUCAGAUGUUGGACUGCAAAGCAUAUGUCAGGCCUAGUAUGAGUCAGGAACAGAAUUUUACCAACUAGACUCCUGUACUGGUCAGGAGAUGAUAAAAGGUCACCAGAAUCAGCAUGAAGUUUGACAUUAAUGUCCAAAGGAGACACAACAGAGGAAAGGAGAUGAUAAAAGGUCACCAUAAUCAGCAUGAAGUUUGACAUUAAUGUCCAAAGGAGACACAACAGAGGAGACAUUUAUACAAUCAAACUGAUGCAGUAAAUCAGAAAUAUACUUAUGCUGAUUUAGG